RNAcentral lists this long non-coding RNA (201 nucleotides) under Elaeis guineensis (African oil palm). RNAcentral's name for it is "long non-coding RNA (EGUI_LNC046395)". Lineage: Eukaryota; Viridiplantae; Streptophyta; Magnoliopsida; Arecales; Arecaceae. The record is from RNAcentral.
AGUGGGGGUUAUGCACUGGUGUUCAGUGGAUCCUACUAGUAGGGGUUGUGCACUGGUGUUUAGUGGAUCCUGCCAGUAGGGGUUGUGCACUGGUAUUCAGUGGAUCCUGUUAAUGAGGGUUAAACAUUGGUCAUAGUCGAGGCUAUUGAGUUAUGAGUAUUUUGAUUCAAAUCAGAUUUAUGAUUAUAUUAUAUGUGAAUA